GUGCAGCAGUCGAGAAACCUUUACAAUGCCUUCACGGGCGAUAAGGGGAUCCUGAGUGCUCUAGCAUUGCUAGAGCUUUUCCAGAGUGUAAAAGCUCUGGGAAUAAGUGGUGGGUAAGACGGGUGCCAGCCGCCGCGGUAAUACCCGCGCCACAAGUGGUGACCACGUUUAUGGGUCUAAAGCGUUCGUAGCCGGCUUCAAUAAAUUCUCGGUGAAAUCCUGUGUAAAACAUAGGAAGUGCCGAGAAGACUGUUGAGCUAGGGACCGGGAGAGGCUGAGGGUACUCCAGGGGUAGGGGUUAAAA
This 304-nucleotide ribosomal RNA is filed under the name uncultured microorganism. Its description in RNAcentral is "bacterial SSU rRNA". It matches the Rfam family "Archaeal small subunit ribosomal RNA", at positions 330 to 638 of the family's 1478-position model. The record is from RNAcentral.